GCUCAAAUAAUUUAAUUAAAAUAUUGGUCUUGUAAACCAAAUAUAAGGAAAUCCUUUUUUAGCU
This 64-nucleotide transfer RNA is filed under the name Sambus kanssuensis. RNAcentral's name for it is "tRNA-Thr". It matches the Rfam family "tRNA". Rfam says of the family: Transfer RNA (tRNA) molecules are approximately 80 nucleotides in length. Their secondary structure includes four short double-helical elements and three loops (D, anti-codon, and T loops). Further hydrogen bonds mediate the characteristic L-shaped molecular structure. tRNAs have two regions of fundamental functional importance: the anti-codon, which is responsible for specific mRNA codon recognition, and the 3' end, to which the tRNAs corresponding amino acid is attached (by aminoacyl-tRNA synthetases). tRNAs cope with the degeneracy of the genetic code in two manners: having more than one tRNA (with a specific anti-codon) for a particular amino acid; and 'wobble' base-pairing, i.e. permitting non-standard base-pairing at the 3rd anti-codon position. Lineage: Eukaryota; Metazoa; Arthropoda; Insecta; Coleoptera; Buprestidae. The record is from RNAcentral.